UAGAUCAAGAAUGUCAUGCUAUAGAAUGUACCUCUUUUUUAUUGGAGAAGAUGAUUCUGUUUCCAUUUUGAUAUCAGGUUCAUAAGCAAGGUGUUGCACUUGGAAGAUCUGUUGACUUGACAAAGUUUGAUGGUUAUGACCAAUUGAUCGAGGAGUUAGAUCAGCUAUUUGAAUUCAAAGGAGAAUUGAUGGCUUCAAAUAAAAAUUGGAUGAUUGUAUUUACUGAUAAUGAGGAUGAUAUGAUGCUUGUUGGAGAUGACCCUUGGCAGGAAUUUUGUGCUAUGGUCCGUCAGAUUUUUAUAUACACAAAAGAGGAGGUCCAGAAGAUGGAUUCAAGUACCUUGAACCCAAAAAAUGAAGAUUGUCCUGAUAUGAAAGAGAAUGUCAAGGAAACAAAAGGCAGUCAAUCUGCAUCAUCAUCUAAUUCAAAAAACUCAUAGGCUUAUCCUGCAAUAUCACUAUCAAGGAAAAAUGUUCAAAGGAAAGUAAAGGCUAAGGAUAAGAUCACGUAAUUAACUACACGGGUCUAGUGAAAAUACUGAAGAAGUAUGACAAGAGAACAGGAGCACUUAUCAGGCAGCCCUUCAUCGAAAAGGUGCUGCAGCAGCCAUUCUUUACAACUGAUCUCCUAUACAAACUCGUGAAGGAGUGUGUGGCUAUGCUCGACCACCUCUUCCCCAUCAACAACCUGUCAAUUUCAGCAGAAUGCGACGGACAAAAUGGAGUGCCAAA
Long non-coding RNA from Zingiber officinale, 732 nucleotides. RefSeq lists it as uncharacterized. The record is from RefSeq and is a predicted model, not a curated record. Lineage: Eukaryota; Viridiplantae; Streptophyta; Magnoliopsida; Zingiberales; Zingiberaceae. The transcript has 4 exons.